ACUCCUACGGGAGGCAGCAGUAGGGAAUCUUCCGCAAUGGACGCAAGUCUGACGGAGCAACGCCGCGUGAGUGAUGAAGGUUUUCGGAUCGUAAAGCUCUGUUGCCAGGGAAGAACGCUUAGGAGAGUAACUGCUCUUAAGGUGACGGUACCUGAGAAGAAAGCCCCGGCUAACUACGUGCCAGCAGCCGCGGUAAU
RNAcentral lists this ribosomal RNA (197 nucleotides) under uncultured bacterium. Its description in RNAcentral is "partial 16S ribosomal RNA". It matches the Rfam family "Bacterial small subunit ribosomal RNA", at positions 335 to 524 of the family's 1533-position model. The record is from RNAcentral.